Molecule: long non-coding RNA, 505 nt
Filed under: Vigna radiata
Lineage: Eukaryota; Viridiplantae; Streptophyta; Magnoliopsida; Fabales; Fabaceae
Description: long non-coding RNA (VRAD_LNC012896)
Source: RNAcentral
AUUGUUAAAAACUUAUGAGGGGCCCAAAAUUGUAGGACACUUGCCCUAGGGUUUCUUUUUAUUUUUAGGGUGGACCCCACCCCAAUUUUAGGACACAUGGCCUCUUAAAAUUUGAGCCAGCCGUCACACAUGAGGACAACAUUACUCUCGGCAUUUUGGAUUAAAAGGAGCAGCCGAGACACAUUUUGUUUUUGGAGGGUGCGGGAACGGUUUUUGGUGGGGGGCUGGAACGUUUGAUUUUUGGGGAAAAUGGGUAUCGUGUUUUUGGGAGAUUUUGGAUGAAUGAGAAAGAAGCAAGCACGCUUUUUUCCCUUCUAAUUUUCUGCAGCCGCUGAUUUCACAUUGCAAGGCUCAGAUUCAUUUUAUUUUAAGAAAAAGGAAAUGUUGAUUUCACUUGAUGGGAUGGUGGUAGCUUAGUGUAGCUAGGUUUUCUCUUUCUUUAUUUUCAGAAUGCAGCACUUGAUUUGAUGGAAGGAAAGCCAUUUGGUCAUGGCAAGGAGAGGGU